This is a long non-coding RNA of Triticum aestivum (bread wheat), 650 nucleotides long. RefSeq lists it as uncharacterized. Lineage: Eukaryota; Viridiplantae; Streptophyta; Magnoliopsida; Poales; Poaceae. The record is from RefSeq and is a predicted model, not a curated record. The transcript is spliced from 3 exons.
CCGACGACCACAAUGGGAUGGAUCAAGCAGCCAAGACUCAAAGUGUGGUCGACAGUGCGGCUCUUCCAGCACUGAAGUUAUGUAUUUUGGGCCAAUUUCAAUUGCCUCACUACCUCUACACAUGGAUCCUGUAGGCUAUUCCUCUUGUUACAACCUUUUCCCAUAGAAUCAAAAGGAAUUAGAUUGAAGAAAUUGCAGGAGAGCAGGAAGGGUAUUCCUGGUGUGACAUUCAAAAGCAGUCAAAACGGUGAGGUUUAGAACGGAGGAGCUCCGUGGAAUUGUGGAUAAAAAAUUAUCCAUAACAUGUCUGUCAUUGCUCAUGUCGACCACGGUAUGUGACCGAGCAGUGACAGUUGUCUCUAAUUAUCAAUUUUAUAUAGAGUCUUCUUGAUUGAUGAUUUUGUAGCCUUCUCUUAGUUGUACCAUAUUAAUUCUUAAAACUGGAUCAUUUAAAAUUAGUUAGAUUUAAUGAGUUGUUUCACUGUUUUCAAAUAAGUAGUUUAAGCCCUUAUUGUGUUCUGGAGCUUAUUCUUUCUACCUUUUUAUGAUUGAUUUAUGCUCUCACAAGCUUAAAUGUAACUAUUGACAUAUAAUCUCAUGGCUCAAAGUCUUAGUUGUUGAAUGUAUUAAAAUUUAUAAGACCUGGAGUU